This 592-nucleotide ribosomal RNA is filed under the name uncultured bacterium. RNAcentral's name for it is "bacterial SSU rRNA". It matches the Rfam family "Bacterial small subunit ribosomal RNA", at positions 305 to 910 of the family's 1533-position model. The record is from RNAcentral.
CAGCCACACUGGGACUGAGACACGGCCCAGACUCCUACGGGAGGCAGCAGUGGGGAAUCUUGCGCAAUGGGCGAAAGCCUGACGCAGCAACGCCGCGUGGAGGACGAAGGCUUUCUGAGUUGUAAACUCCUUUCAGCAGGGACGAUAGUGACGGUACCUGCAGAAGAAGCACCGGCCAACUACGUGCCAGCAGCCGCGGUGAUACGUAGGGUGCAAGCGUUGUCCGGAUUUAUUGGGCGUAAAGAGCUCGUAGGCGGUUUGAUAAGUCGGGUGUGAAACCUCCAGGCUCAACCUGGAGCCGCCACUCGAUACUGUCAUGACUAGAAUUCGGUAGGGGACCACGGAAUUCCUGGUGUAGCGGUGAAAUGCGCAGAUAUCAGGAGGAACACCAGCAGCGAAGGCGGUGGUCUGGGCCGACAUUGACGCUGAGGAGCGAAAGCGUGGGGAGCGAACAGGAUUAGAUACCCUGGUAGUCCACGCCGUAAACGUUGGGCACUAGGUGUGGGGACUAUUCAACGGUUUCCGUGCCGCAGCUAACGCAUUAAGUGCCCCGCCUGGGGAGUACGGCCGCAAGGCUAAAACUCAAAGGAAU